UAUAAAGAAAAAUGGCGUGGUGAGCGCCGGGGCGUUCGUCGCCGGAAAUCAGUGUUGUCUUCUUCCUGUGUAUGUGCCAGAGAGAGGGUGAGCUGAGGGUGAGCUAGGGCUAGCCGGUUCCAACAGAAGCCGUGCUCGAUCCGGUCAAAGGUGAUAUUUUUACACGGGCGGCGGUGCUCGAUCCGUGCUGGAGCAUCGGGAGGAGGACGACGGCGCAGUGGGCUUCUGUUCUUCCCUGCUGUCGAGAAGCGGCCCCGGCCUGUUGACCCGCGCGCCCUCGUCCUGGCCGUGGCCGCUACCUGGGCUGCUCGCGAGGCAGCGCAACAUGUCGGGGUCGCCGACGACCCUGAGGAGGAAGAGGAGUGCUUGGUCCAGCGCUCCGUCUCCUACACCCUGCCGCCACGCGCUCCUCGGAGAUACCCAACCAGCCAUGGAGUAAUUCAAGUUCAAGGUCCCGGUUGGUACUGCCAGCAGCCUUGCCGGUCCAAGCAAUCAAGAUCAUCAGCAAGUCAAUAACGGAGACGGUCGAGCACUGUCAUCACACUGAACCUGCAACACCAGUGAGAUGACUGAAGAUUGGGUUGUGGUUGGAGUGAGAGGAGAAGCAAAUCACUUAACCAGUUGAAUCCUUGGGUGUACAAGACGGCCGAGCUGUGGCAGGUGAAGGAGCCGCUGCCGCUGCCCGCGCCGAAGAAGCGCAACUGCUCCAUGGUGUUCACCCUCAAGGAGAUGGAGGAGGCCACCAGCAUGUUCAGCGACAAGAACCUCAUCGGCAAGGGUGGCUUCGGCCGGGUUUACAGGGGCGUGCUCAAAGAUGGGUAGAUUCUCUUGAUUGGAGUGGAGAGGAGCAGAGACGAGAGGAGCAGCAGAAGUGGACAGCGCAGCGGCUGACCUCAAGCUCUUGAUUGGAGUGGGGGGAGGCGGCCGGCGAAGGAUCCGAAGCUGUGGCGGAGCAGGCAGCCGGCGGGAAGGGCGGCCGGCGAGGGAGCUGCGGACCGCGGCGGGGAAGGGCGGCCGAUGAGGGAGCUGCGGACCACGGCGGGGAAGGGCGGCCGGCCGGCGAGGGAGCUGCGUACCGCGGCGGGGAAGGACGCCGGAGAUGCGGACGACGGAGGAGCCCGGCGAAAGGGAGCAGCGACGGCGGAGAAGCCUGGCAGAGGGGAGGAGCGACGGAGGAAGACGCCUCCCGAUCGAUUUCAAAUCAGGGGUAGUAUUGUACUUUCACACUGUUUCACCUGGUCGGAACGAUGCCCCCAGCGACAAUUAUUUCGGAACGGAGGGAGUACCAUGCAUGGUGUUGUGCAAAUUGGCAAGCCAUACAAGGAAGAAUCAGCCCAUUGCACAUCGUUCAGCAGAAAGGGCCCAGUCUCUUUGCGACCUGAGCCCAUCUGCCUCUUUUUUCGCUUUUUCUUUCUCCAUUUCAGUCCUAUAGUAAUGAUUAUAUCGUGUAUAUGCGUGAAUGUGAGCAUCUCCGAUUGUAUUGUGUUAAAAAAAUGUUUCAUUUCGCUUCA
Molecule: long non-coding RNA, 1511 nt
Organism: Aegilops tauschii subsp. strangulata
Lineage: Eukaryota; Viridiplantae; Streptophyta; Magnoliopsida; Poales; Poaceae
Source: RefSeq, a predicted model, not a curated record